GAUCCUGGCUCAGGACGAACGCUGGCGGCGUGCCUAAUACAUGCAAGUAGAACGCUGAAGAGAGGAGCUUGCUCUUCUUGGAUGAGUUGCGAACGGGUGAGUAACGCGUAGGUAACCUGCCUGGUAGCGGGGGAUAACUAUUGGAAACGAUAGCUAAUACCGCAUAAUAGCAGUUAUUGCAUGAUAACUGUUUGAAAGGUGCAAUUGCACCACUACCAGAUGGACCUGCGUUG
Molecule: ribosomal RNA, 233 nt
Filed under: uncultured bacterium
Lineage: Bacteria
Description: partial 16S ribosomal RNA
Rfam family: Bacterial small subunit ribosomal RNA
Source: RNAcentral